AUUGAACGCUGGCGGCAGGCUUAACACAUGCAAGUCGAGCGAGCGGCGGACGGGUGAGUAAUGUCUGGGAAACUGCCUGAUGGAGGGGGAUAACUACUGGAAACGGUAGCUAAUACCGCAUACCAUCAGAUGUGCCCAUAUGGGUUUGGCUAGUAGGUGGGGUAAUGGCUCACCUAGGCGACGAGCCCUAGCUGGUCUGAGAGGAUGAACCGCCACACUGGGACUGAGAAACGGUCCAGACGCCUACGGGAGGCAGCAGUGGGGAAUAUUGCACAAUAUGCGCAAGCCUAAUGGAGCCAUGCCGCGUGUGAGAAGAGGGACUUCGGGUUGUAAAGCACUUUCAGCAAGGAGGCGUUACUCGCAGAAGAAGCACCGGCUAACUCCGUGCCAGCAGCCGCGGUAAUUC
Molecule: ribosomal RNA, 406 nt
Filed under: uncultured bacterium
Lineage: Bacteria
Description: partial 16S ribosomal RNA
Rfam family: Bacterial small subunit ribosomal RNA
Source: RNAcentral